This 1243-nucleotide ribosomal RNA is filed under the name 'Tripleurospermum inodorum' phytoplasma. RNAcentral's name for it is "bacterial SSU rRNA". It matches the Rfam family "Bacterial small subunit ribosomal RNA", at positions 266 to 1513 of the family's 1533-position model. The record is from RNAcentral. Lineage: Bacteria; Bacillati; Mycoplasmatota; Mollicutes; Acholeplasmatales; Acholeplasmataceae. RNAcentral also lists the same sequence under 1 other name.
UACCAAGACUAUGAUGUGUAGCCGGGCUGAGAGGUUGAACGGCCACAUUGGGACUGAGACACGGCCCAAACUCCUACGGGAGGCAGCAGUAGGGAAUUUUCGGCAAUGGAGGAAACUCUGACCGAGCAACGCCGCGUGAACGAUGAAGUAUUUCGGUACGUAAAGUUCUUUUAUUAGGGAAGAAUAAAUGAUGGAAAAAUCAUUCUGACGGUACCUAAUGAAUAAGCCCCGGCUAACUAUGUGCCAGCAGCCGCGGUAAUACAUAGGGGGCAAGCGUUAUCCGGAAUUAUUGGGCGUAAAGGGUGCGUAGGCUGUUAAAUAAGUUUAUGGUCUAAGUGCAAUGCUCAACAUUGUGAUGCUAUAAAAACUGUUUAGCUAGAGUAAGAUAGAGGCAAGUGGAAUUCCAUGUGUAGUGGUAAAAUGCGUAAAUAUAUGGAGGAACACCAGUAGCGAAGGCGGCUUGCUGGGUCUUUACUGACGCUGAGGCACGAAAGCGUGGGGAGCAAACAGGAUUAGAUACCCUGGUAGUCCACGCCGUAAACGAUGAGUACUAAACGUUGGGUAAAACCAGUGUUGAAGUUAACACAUUAAGUACUCCGCCUGAGUAGUACGUACGCAAGUAUGAAACUUAAAGGAAUUGACGGGACUCCGCACAAGCGGUGGAUCAUGUUGUUUAAUUCGAAGGUACCCGAAAAACCUCACCAGGUCUUGACAUGCUUCUGCAAAGCUGUAGAAACACAGUGGAGGUUAUCAGUUGCACAGGUGGUGCAUGGUUGUCGUCAGCUCGUGUCGUGAGAUGUUGGGUUAAGUCCCGCAACGAGCGCAACCCUUAUUGUUAGUUGCCAGCACGUAAUGGUGGGGACUUUAGCAAGACUGCCAGUGAUAAAUUGGAGGAAGGUGGGGACGACGUCAAAUCAUCAUGCCCCUUAUGACCUGGGCUACAAACGUGAUACAAUGGCUGUUACAAAGGGUAGCUGAAACGCAAGUUUUUGGCGAAUCUCAAAAAAACAGUCUCAGUUCGGAUUGAAGUCUGCAACUCGACUUCAUGAAGUUGGAAUCGCUAGUAAUCGCGAAUCAGCAUGUCGCGGUGAAUACGUUCUCGGGGUUUGUACACACCGCCCGUCAAACCACGAAAGUUGGCAAUACCCAAAACCGGUGGCCUAACUUCGCAAGAAGAGGGAACCGUCUAAGGUAGGGUCGAUGAUUGGGGUUAAGUCGUAACAAGGUAUCCCUACCGGAAGGU